RNAcentral lists this ribosomal RNA (405 nucleotides) under uncultured soil bacterium. RNAcentral's name for it is "bacterial SSU rRNA". It matches the Rfam family "Bacterial small subunit ribosomal RNA", at positions 26 to 429 of the family's 1533-position model. The record is from RNAcentral.
AGAGUGAACGCUGGCGGUAGGCCUAACACAUGCAAGUCGAACGGCAGCACAGUGGUAGCAAUACCAUGGGUGGCGAGUGGCGGACGGGUGAGGAAUACAUCGGAAUCUACCUUUUCGUGGGGGAUAACGUAGGGAAACUUACGCUAAUACCGCAUACGCCCUUCGGGGGAAAGCCGGGGAUCGCAAGACCUGGCGCGGAUAGAUGAGCCGAUGUCGGAUUAGCUAGUUGGUGAGGUAAUGGCUCACCAAGGCGACGAUCCGUAGCUGGUCUGAGAGGAUGAUCAGCCACACUGGAACUGAGACACGGUCCAGACUCCUACGGGAGGCAGCAGUGGGAAUAUUGGACAAUGGGCGCAAGCCUGAUCCAGCCAUACCGCGUGGGUGAAGAAGGCCUUCGGUUGUAAA